UGGGGAAUUUUGGACAAUGGGGGAAACCCUGAUCCAGCCAUCCCGCGUGUGCGAUGAAGGCCUUCGGGUUGUAAAGCACUUUUGGCAGGAAAGAAACGUCAUGGGUUAAUACCCCGUGAAACUGACGGUACCUGCAGAAUAAGCACCGGCUAACUACGUGCCAGCAGCCGCGGUAAUACGUAGGGUGCAAGCGUUAAUCGGAAUUACUGGGCGUAAAGCGUGCGCAGGCGGUUCGGAAAGAAAGAUGUGAAAUCCCAGGGCGCAACUUUGGAACUGCAUUUUUAACUACCGGGCUAGAGUGUGUCAGAGGGAGGUGGAAUUCCGCGUGUAGCAGUGAAAUGCGUAGAUAUGCGGAGGAACACCGAUGGCGAAGGCAGCCUCCUGGGAUAACACUGACGCUAAUGCACGAAAGCGUGGGGAGCAAACAGG
This 429-nucleotide ribosomal RNA is filed under the name Acidobacteriota bacterium. Its description in RNAcentral is "Acidobacteria bacterium partial 16S ribosomal RNA". It matches the Rfam family "Bacterial small subunit ribosomal RNA", at positions 355 to 776 of the family's 1533-position model. Lineage: Bacteria; Pseudomonadati; Acidobacteriota. The record is from RNAcentral.